CCGUAUUGAAUCACUCACGUGAAUCAGUCGAAAAAUGAAAGAGACUCGCCAGAGAGCCCCGAACAAGUCCGACCAGCCUGACCACCCGGUGAGACGAGGGGCUAGAGUUCUCGAAAAAUAUGCCAAGUUCUCGAUAUGAGUGGCCCUAUGGACUCCCGUACGCGGGACGAGGGCCGGAUCGGGACUUGGCACAAAUAAUAUAUUCAUACUCUAUGUUCUCGAUAUGAGAAGCCCGACGACUUCCCGUGCUGGCCUCCAGGCGCGGGAUGAGGGCUGGAUCGAGACGCAUAUGUGCUAUGAAGCAAAAUGUUGCGAAAUAUGCUAUGUUCUGAGACUCGCCAGAGUGCCCCGAAGAAGUCCGACCGGCCUGACCACCCGGUGAGACGAGGGGCUAGAGAUCUCAAAAAAUAUACGCCAAGUACUCGACGAGCCUCCGAGACUUGCUAAGAAAUAAAUGUCUCGUUGAAGUCCCAUGGCAUCCCCGUGCUGGCAACAGUGCGGGGUGAGGGACGGAUCGAGACUCAAGAAUGAAAUGUUGCAAAAUAUAAGCCAAGUUCUCGAUAUGAGUGGCCCUAUAGACUCCCGUACGCGGGACGAGGGCCGGGUCGAGUCUUGCUAUAAUCACGCAACUUUGAAACAUAGCCAUUUAAAUGGACUCGUGUAUCCCGUUGAACUCUCGUGCUGGCCUGUCAGGCACGAGACGAGGGGCACACGAGUCCAACACGCAACUUAGCUUCAUAGCCAUAUCAAUAAGGACUCGUAUGAGCGGCCCGUUGAACUCUCGUGCUGGCCUGUCAGGCACGAGACGAGGGCUGGACGAGAGCCUUCCCGAACUUAGUACUCUGGCUGAGCAUGUAAGCGUAACGCUCUCCUCGGAGAGCGGAAUCCCUUGAAUAAGCAGAGUACGGGCACUGAGAGAUGUUCUCCUCGGAGAGCAGAUGAAGUUUUGGUAACGGAUCGAAUCGUUCGUCUUGCCUAGAGAGCGCUAACAGUGCGCCGGCGACGAGAGACGGUUGUUUUUAAAGCUAUUUUUGCGCCAUUACGACUCAGUGUAACGCCCAUAUCGUGCCGUGUGUGCGAGUAUGUGGCACCCCGCCGACGGUGGCCCUUUCGGGGCGGGCCGUCGUGCGGGUACCGGGACGUGUGUUCAGAAGCGACCGAGUCAUGUCGGGCACCUGACGAAAGUCUCCCUAGGACUCAGCCUAAAUCAUGCCGCUGUUCGUGGACUUGUGAGAAAUCAGGGUCGAUACACGUUCAGUUCGGAUAAUCAAU
Molecule: unclassified non-coding RNA, 1272 nt
Filed under: Thrips alliorum
Lineage: Eukaryota; Metazoa; Arthropoda; Insecta; Thysanoptera; Thripidae
Source: RNAcentral